AACUUUGUUGUUAAGUAGGGUGCUAUAAUUUCAAAAAGUGGGAUUGUGUCUUGGAUUUUGUAACAAUGCCAAGAGAGUACGCAGAGAAAGAGAAGUGGCUGCAUUGGGCCCUAAAGACUGGGUGUGGUGAACCUCCUUCUUAAUGUCCAGUGUCUUUCUAUUUGGUGAACUGUGU
Small nucleolar RNA from Microtus ochrogaster (prairie vole), 175 nucleotides. RefSeq annotates it as small nucleolar RNA SNORA81. NCBI's taxonomy places the organism in Eukaryota, Metazoa, Chordata, Mammalia, Rodentia, Cricetidae. The record is from RefSeq and is a predicted model, not a curated record.